This 263-nucleotide long non-coding RNA is filed under the name Capsicum annuum. RNAcentral describes it as "long non-coding RNA (CANN_LNC008686)". Lineage: Eukaryota; Viridiplantae; Streptophyta; Magnoliopsida; Solanales; Solanaceae. The record is from RNAcentral.
GAGAAAGUACCAAGAAGGUCAAGUCUUGUUUUGAACUUGAAAAGGAAGCUUCAACACCAAAUUUCCCUCCAUUAACCAAUUCCACCAUUUUCAAAUUGUAGAUUGGUCAAGACUUGAAAUUGGAGAGUAAAAUUCUGACAAAACCGAGGCCAAUAGUGGACUGCCACAUCACUAAAUUACUGUUCACACAAUAUUUUGAGUUCAAAUUUUAGAUUUCUUAGUUUCAUUUUAUUGUUUCUUAGUUUCGUUUGUUGGUUCGAACA